CUAGUUGGCUUUGACAGUCAGGGUUACACUAGGCUUGUCUAACAAGUGGGAAAAUAUACUUAAGGCCUCACAGAGGACAGUCACAGGUCUGUUGCAGUCCAGUGGGACUCACAUCCAGCGUGCUGGGGGCAGAGCUGAAGGAAAGCCAGGACAGAAUGGGAUCCAUUGCUUCUGCAUCAACCCACGCCCCAAAAAUGCUCCGUUUGAUGUGUAUGCUCCUGUGGUGAUGUUUCCAGCCAGAAGGAACCCUGGCUUUCCAGUAUCAGCCAUUUGGCACGGGGACUCUAUCGACUUGCUCAUGGAUGUAGCAGAAGGCAUCGCGUGAGAUGCACAAAAACCAGUUCCUGCUCUGCGUCACCUCCUCUCCUCCAGGCUUGCAGCACCACACAACUUGCCAGCGGACUUGCCUGUACAGUGCAGAACCAGCACCACAUCUACCCAGUGCACUUACAAACCUAAACUCAAAGGUAGCACGCACUUCCCUCAAAUAACCAAAAGCAAACCAUGCCGUGACGUGGCAGGAGGGAUCCCGUAGCUCAGCGAUGCUCUGCCACUGGGAACCAGCGUGGUCCAGGGAACGGGGCCGCACCGAGAGGACAAGCCCCUCGGCGAGACACCUCGGACCCAGGCUGCGAGUCAGAGGAGCGGCCAGGAAGGGCUCAGCUCUGCCUGUCUGGAAAUAUUUCUGUUCUCCAUUUGGUCUGCAGGCAGUGGGACAUGACCCUGAAGGAAGCCACCUCACUGCAGCGCCCGGUGCUCCAGCCGUUUAGCACCGACAGCAAAAUUAGGAUGGGAAAAGGAAACAGCGUGAGGUCAGAGGGUUACGGUAACCAGAGCGCUUUGAAGUCAGGCUGUGGCUUCAGGUGCCUCAAGUCAGAGCUCCUCCCAAGUGCAAUUACAGCUGUGCCACAGCAGAGCUGCAGUUCUGCAAUUUAAGACUUCAGGAGAGCCACACUUGUUUGGGCUAAAAUCACUUCAGACACUAGCAAAAGCUUGAGCAUUAGAGGAAAUACACUCCCUUGCAGCAAAGGAAAACUGCUCCUAGGUUAUCACUCCAGCUCCUACGCUGUACCAACAGCAUUACUUCACCUUCUGCAAUCAUCUGAGUCAAGAGCCAGGAUAUUUGUUUAGAAAUUCUGCCAUGAGUGAUUAGCCUGUGCAAAGUUAGAGUGGAAACCAGUUUUAUUGUUUAAGGAAGAGAAAAGCUGCCAGUGCUUUGUGGAAUUGCAAAUGACGUGGUGUUUUCCCCGUGCCCUGCCACCCUCCUGAGAUACAGCCCCAUCCUGGGGGACACUGCCUGAACAUCUCAAUAAAAACCCCACCCACGAAGGUCACUUCGACGUCAGCCCUUCGGUCUCCUACACGCUGCCAAAUCUGGGAUCCCCUGGCUUUUGAUUUGCUGCAUUAAAAAGAUGCAGUAAGAGACACGUCCCAGAAGGGCUCAAGCAUCUCUCAGCUUUCCCACAGAGGCCAACGGAGGCAGAAGAGACGUGCUGACUCCCGAGGAUCACUCAUCCAAAGGGUGUUAUUCAAAGGGAUCUUUCCUUCACUGGAAGGGAAAAACAGCAUCAUAUCGGCUGAUCAGAACUAGUUCACGUCAUAACGAUGAAACAUCAGCACAGAUAUUUGGGAAAGGACCAUUGAAACCUAACAGGUUAUUAGCUUCAUUAUUUUCUCAUUUUUCAUUCUCAAAACACUGUCAGCAUUUCCAAAAGGCUUCCACAUACAGGCAUGGUUGCUUUUGAUGCUAUUUAAUAUCAUAACUCUUUUUUUUAUGUUUUGAAAGUCAACUUUCUUCAAACAGUUGAGCUUUUGAAAGCAAUUCUAGCAACUUUUCCCUAAGAAUGCUGUGAGUCAAAUGUAAAUUAGGGCUUGAAAUGAAUGCCACAUAAUUCAUUGUCUUCUAAAUGAAACAAUUCAAAUGUUAAAAUAAUGCGGUAUGAAGAUAUUUAGGUAUUUGACAACAUGGUCUCCUACCAGCUCUCAAACGAUAAGGGUAAAAAGUGGAAAUCUUUCAAGCGUUAUCACUGACACACAGAUACAGAUUGGCCAGAGUAGGAGAUAAUGCACAAAUACAGAGUAUUCCUCAGGAGAAAACUGCCAGGUCCUUUCUGUUUCUAGCCUGCUGUGAUAAAUAAUUUUACUCCCAGCCAUUUCCCUUGCUACCCCCACCUAAGAAGAAAGGAUAGGUCAAACUUUGUCACUCUGUUAGCUCCAGUGAUACUACGCUGGGUGAUAACAGCCAAAAACCUGAUCCAAACAAUUGGAGCAGCUCCUAACAAAAAUAAAAAUCGCACACGAAAGAUUUAAGUAACCCUUCAGUGCUCAUUUCACUGGAAUACUUCAACAGGCACUAAUUAAAAGCAUAUUUAGCUGCCUUGGUUAGAAGGCUAGUCCCAAAGUCAUGAGAGAAUAAAAUCUGAUUUAGAAAAGCAGCAGCCCCAGUGCUAUUUGAUUAAUUUGUAGUAAAUGUGUCCUGGUGGGUUGCCAGCAUCACGAAGUGGUCGUGGAAAGCUGCAACAGACAGUGCCCGGCAGAGCCGGUUUCAGCUGAGCAGUUCUGGUCUCGGAGAGGGGCUUUGCAAAUUCCCACCCUUGGAAGGAAUUGUUAGCCACCUAAACUCUAGAAAUGCAUGACGUGAAGAGUCUCAGAGAAGGGUGGAGGGAGAAUCAGGUUUCUGAGAGCUUCACGAGGCUUUGAUAUUUGGAAACAGAUUCGCUCAAAUGCAGAUAGACAUCAGCCUAGCUUGGUAUGCUCUUGCUUUUGUCAGCUGCCAGGAACAGGGAUGGAUGAAGCAAGAAUCCACACCAUUUGGAAUUACACCUGUUUUACAACCUGCACAAUCCUUGUCUACAAUAAACAGCAUCUGCUGAUCCACUCUCCAUUUCAUCCCCCUCUCUUCUACUUCCAAAAGAACCAUAGAGAGCACAGAAGUUAUUCCAGCUUUCAGAAAGCUGCUUCCAAUGCUUAGUAGCAACUCCCUGAACCACGCAGCAAGGACCAAAACAAACUGGGAAGCCUCUCUGAUGGGUCCCAGGCUGACUUUUCUCCUGAUUUUCCACUUCUCUGCCAUCCGCAGCUCCCAAAGGCACAAUUUUGUUCAGUCACCGACUUCGAAACUCAUCACGUUCUUGGGAGGCAACAGCAAGGGAGGUGCACACAUUGAGCGACGCAUCCAAAGGGGCAAGCGUCCCAGGGAAAACACUCCUACCCAUCCCGUUUGUAGUAUCCUACUUUUUCCUGCUCUGCUCGACAUCUGCCUGCUCUGCCAGGAAUGGCCACGGGUCUGCUCCACCUUCCUUCUGCUGACACAGGAGAACGUAGGAGUCAGCAGAAGGAAGCAAGGACUUCAGUGGUGACCAAUGAUUAACACACCAUCUCCACCUCCUCCACUUCUUCAUGGGUCAACAACAAAGGCCAUGGCCUGAUUUUUAUGGAAGAUCUACAAAGGUGCAGCCAGAAAUGGAGCCUCCUUCCACUUUCAGGCUCCGAAGCCCUGAGGCUGGGGAUGGGAGGGACUCACAUCUUCUGCUCAAGUCCCAGUAACAAAAAUGGUUGGCAAUAUCUACUAAUUCUUUGCUAAGCUUGUGGCAAUUCUUUCAACCUCUUUCAAACCAGAAGGCUCCAACAAGCACACAGAGCUUUAAUUGGCCAACAGUUUACACGCAAGUUGGGUUCCGCAGAGCAUGCUACUUAAUUUUCUGCUCUUAGAGGUAUUUCUCUAAUCAUAAAAUAAAUUGGGAUUUCAAAGUUAGCUAGCUUACCUGAGUUGGAGCCACCAUCUGUUAUUUUAGCCUGGCCAGAUUUGCAUAUGCCAUUACAAAAAUUCGCCCCAAAUCACAGCUUCAGUAUAAUUUCACGCAUGUGACUCAAUUUACAAUUACAGCCCUACACCACACUUUCACACUGCCUCCUUUCAGCCCAAGCCACAGCCCAACAACCACCACAACUUGACCUACUAAUCUUCUCCCCGCAUCCACGGUUUCUGCCCGUGCCACAGAGCAUCGUGGAAGGAGAACCUGCCUUUACGUACAGGGCAGCAGUGACAAAACAUCCCACCCCGUCUAGGCAUGCUGCUCCACUGUUUAAUUAUCUUUGCUGUUAAAUCCAAGGGGCAAGUUCUCCAGUUUCACUGUCCAACCCUGUGAUGUAAUUCCACCUUUGAUCUUUUAGGGGACUAAAAAGCCGUAGCAACUUACUGGGGCCUUCCUUCACGCUUGCUCACCGUACUAUUUUCAUUACCAAUUCUGCCUAAAAUUGCUACAAGAACAUACCAAGCCAGAUACGACCUGCUUGCCUGCUCGUAAUUAAGGUAACACUACUGCUGAACGGAGUCCAAGGUUUUACUCCCACAUGGCAAGCAAAAGCUUGCAAGGCUCUGCAGCCUUGGAAGCCCUUCCAUCCAUGUGCAACCCAGCCACUUUUUAUGGGAAGCAAACGGGUAGUGGGGUGAUCUCCCACCAGCAGCCAAAAAAACGCACAUGAAGGCAGCUCUGGUUAAGCCGAGGGGUCAACAAGCCUGUCCCCAAAUCCAGCUGGCACCUUUCCACCCUGUGCCCAUGGAAGAAGGGGGCUGCUGCCACAUCCCACUCGCACAGCUGCAGGAUGUGGAGCAAGGGAGAGUUCAUUCCCAUCCCGCCCCGUGCUUUCAGCAUUCCUCGCGUAUUAGGUUUCCGCAGAAAACAAAGCAGCUUUGCUUUCCAUUACAUACCCAAACACAAGUAUGCGAGGGAAUUAUAAGGUAAUUAGUCUGGAUAACCAGCACGUUGAUUUUACUAGUCAGUACUGCGUAAUUCAGGAAAUCGUGUGUUGGUAAGAAGAAUGGAGACUGCAUUAAAGAUGUAAUGAAGUUUGAAUAGCUCAACUUUCCAGCAGACGACCCCAUGCCAGAAAAGGAUCAGAAUUAGUUAAGCUAGUUCUUUUAAAGUGGUUUCCUCUUCAGUGAUGCCAGCAGAUGAAAAUGAAUCAAAAAUGAAUUAUUAAUGCUGUAAGUUCUAGGUUAAUGCAAGCAAUUUCAUUCAAAAGGAAGAGCAAACUUUGCAAUAUUACCUUGCAAAUAAUGAUCUUUAGCAUCAAAUAUUUGUCAAUACUUUUACAAUUAAACACUUGAACCAUUCUUGCUAGAUAAAGGUCAAAACUCUCAAAUCCGGAGUUUCAUUAACAGCUGCAGCCCCCAGGUCUGCACUGGCAUGAACACCGCUUUGGUACAGCUUGGAUAUCUCGAGUCAGCCAGACACCAUGCUGUCUGAGAGUGCAUUACUAGCAGUAUCUGAAUUUUUACCAAAUAUAUAUAUAUGUUUGGAGCUAGGCACCUGUUUGAGAUACACAGUGACUUCAGAACACAAGGUUAAGUUUUAUUCUAAAAGGCCAUUCUGAAACCAGUAACACCACAAAACCCAGAGCAAUUUCUACUAAAAUAAAGUCUCAAAGAUAGGUGGAGAACCAGAUUUAACUCCAUCUGUUUUAUAUUCAAAAUCCACUGCAACAACUGGAAGUCCUGUCUAUGGAGAGGAUUCAUCUCACCCCUGAGUACUGUUCACUAGUCGGCACUGGAGAGAGAGGGGCUUUAUCGUAUAGCCAAGAUGAAACCUACCCCACGUUCCUCCACUUAAAUUUCCUAAGGACUUACGAAUUAAAACUCAAGCAUUCCCACUCCUCAAGCAGGGAAAAGAAAACCACUUCACUGCAGGUGAUUCAGUAACAACUGAGAGUUUGCUUUAGGUGCUAUAGCUGGGACAACAUCUAAAAACAAUCGCUGCCAAGGGCCGCGCGCCAACGGUGGCAGAAACGAUCCCAUCCGAGGUGGAGCCGCGCCAGGGCUGAGGCCGUUGAGCUUCGCUAUUUUCCACUGCGGCGAGCAGGCUUGGGGUCAAGGCAGAGAAAGAUGCUGCUUUCCCCAGGCCGGCCCGCGAGCGCACGGCAGCUGUCGCGGUGAUAAAUGAGAAGCUAAGCAGGAGCAAGCGAGUGGUCUACAUAAUUACAGAGCUGGUGGAGCCGGCUGGCAGAGCGAGGCAGCCGACGGAGGUGAACACCCAUGGAGAACGGCAUUGCUGGCCAGGGCUCACGCACAAACUUCCCAGGGAGGGAUUAAGACACUCACGUAGGGCUUUAUGACUAACUCGACCAGUCCUUCAGCAGCCACUGUCUAUCUAUCGGAGGAACAGCAGGCAAAAUAUUUAAAGCAACAAUACAAAAAAAAUCAUAGUCUUGACUGCAAUCAAGUUUUCAGCCCUGAAUCUUGUAUACCUGUUUUAUGGCAACUGACAAUCUACCGGUAGAACAAAAGAUUUGGGGAUUGUGCAAAUAGUUCCGGAAAUUCGUUUUAACUGAAAACUUGUGCGCCUCAGAGCAUCAAUAGAUUCACAGCUGGAAGUCCUAAGCAACGUUAAAAUGGCUCUAAAAAUUGCAAGGUGCAUGUCAAACUCAGAUGCUCUUUGGAAACCAUUACAAAAUGUUGUUAUGGUCACAGAGAAGCUGAAGUCUCCAAAUGCAGAGCCAAGGUUUUGUUUUGCUAGCUACAGACACAGAAAACAAAUCCUGUAACGCCUGUGCAGGAGCUUUCAGUACAUCAGCCCAGCUGUUAGAUUCAGGCUUCUGUAAAGAAUUUAGUUAUUUAUUUUAAGAAGAUUUAAUUUAGCCAUGCCUUAAGAGUCUAAACUUCCAGCAACUGAUCAGGAAGACAUUUAUUUGAAUUUCUCUGAUUAUUCUUGCAAGUUGGCACCCCAUGCAAUAAAUGUAGGUCUUUUGUACAGAAUUCAGUGUUAGAUUCAAGGGCUCAAACACAGCAGAAGCUGGUAUAGCACUGGGAUUGUGUGUGCCUGUGCUUUGGGGGACAGUUGGUUUUUUCCUUCAUUUUUUCCAGCACAUUUCCCAUGUGCUGUGUUUGCCCUGAGGAGCCCGAUACGUUUGUGCUUCCCAGCAGAUCAGCUAAUUCAACACUGCUGAGAAUGGCCCUGAGUGCGGGCAUCCACGUGGAAAGGCACCUUCAUGUUUCAGCCUGGGUUGGGUUGGCAGCACCUCGGGGUCCCUCGGGCCCAGCCCCUGCCCCAGCAGGGCCACCCAGAGCAGGGUGCCCAGGCCCACGGCCAGGCAGCUUUAGGAGCUCUCCAGGGAGGAGACUCCAGGCAGCCUGGGCCAGGGCUUUGUCACCCGCACAGUAACCUGUCCUGGCAGUCCUGGCUGACCACAUGUUCAAAUUAAAUCAAGUGGUUACGAGGGUUCUGCUGUCCAAGAUAGCCUCUGGACUACGCUGCCAAAAAUUACAGACUGGAAACACAUCAAAGGACUAAUUACUUCCAAAAAUAACCAGGACUAUUGCUGUGCUUCCUUGUUUGCCUGAACUGUCUCAACCCUCUCUAUUAAGAUUUAGAUGCCCAAAAUUGCAGCUUCCAGAAUUCAUACGUGAAGUUGCUGAACUUCUCCUUCGGCAAGGAAGCUAAGCACAAUUUAAAUAAAUGAACGUGCAAAGUACUGCCAUUAGUUAUUCUCUAAAAGGCCUUCACUUUUAAGAACAAAGAGCGUGGGCACCUCAGCAGCAUAACAAAACAAUAUUUUCCCUGGAUCAGGCCCUGAAUAUCCCAGGGCAUUUGUGAAUCUAGGCUACGUUGAAGAGCAGAGCUAAUGCAGAUGAAGGCACACAAGCGGCAGUUUAUUAUCUACCAGGGUGCUGGCAUUAGGUCAGCACGCAGCACCAUCUCUUUGCUUGGCUUUUGUUUUUUUCCUUUUGACUAGCUGCUGGAUCCUUUUCUGUGCAUUUCUCAUCAACAUGUUU
This is a long non-coding RNA of Cygnus atratus (black swan), 7771 nucleotides long. RefSeq lists it as uncharacterized. The record is from RefSeq and is a predicted model, not a curated record. The transcript has 3 exons. Lineage: Eukaryota; Metazoa; Chordata; Aves; Anseriformes; Anatidae.